Molecule: transfer RNA, 74 nt
Filed under: Planctomycetota bacterium
Lineage: Bacteria; Pseudomonadati; Planctomycetota
Description: Planctomycetes bacterium tRNA-Gln
Rfam family: tRNA
About the family: Transfer RNA (tRNA) molecules are approximately 80 nucleotides in length.
Source: RNAcentral
UGGGGAUUGGUGUAACGGUAGCACAACUGACUCUGACUCAGUUUGUCCUAGUUCGAAUCUAGGAUCCCCAACUA